UUCCUUCCAGAUCUGUGGGGAGGAUGCGCUCAGGGACAUUAUAGAAGAUACAGACAAUCUGUGCCGUCCCAUGUCAAUGGCUACCCGAGCUACAGACAAACCUACCCGUCGCGUCACUACCCUACCUAUCCUCUACACCUACCUUCCUACCCUGAGCACUUAAACACCUACCCCGGACAUCAUGACCGUUAUCAACAAGGUCACCGAUGGAACCAGUGGGGAUCCCAUUCCGGCAGCCAGGGAUAUGGGUCUUACCGGGGAUGAAGAGCUCAAGAUGACUGACACUGCGUGCAUGACUUCUCGGCUUGAAAUCCUUACUACAUUGUGCAAUUACAAUUCUUGUGAAUAAACUUUGU
Molecule: long non-coding RNA, 356 nt
Organism: Haliotis rufescens (red abalone)
Lineage: Eukaryota; Metazoa; Mollusca; Gastropoda; Lepetellida; Haliotidae
Exons: 4
Source: RefSeq, a predicted model, not a curated record